UUAAGCGACUAAGCGUACACGGUGGAUGCCCUGGCAGUCAGAGGCGAUGAAGGACGUGCUAAUCUGCGAUAAGCGUCGGUGAGGUGAUAUGAACCGUUAUAACCGGCGAUUUCCGAAUGGGGAAACCCAGUGUGUUUCGACACACUAUCAUUAACUGAAUCCAUAGGUUAAUGAGGCGAACCGGGGGAACUGAAACAUCUAAGUACCCCGAGGAAAAGAAAUCAACCGAGAUUCCCCCAGUAGCGGCGAGCGAACGGGGAGGAGCCCAGAGCCUGAAUCAGUGUGUGUGUUAGUGGAAGCGUCUGGAAAGGCGUGCGAUACAGGGUGACAGCCUCGUACACAAAAAUGCACAUAUUGUGAGCUCGAUGAGUAGGGCGGGACACGUGGUAUCCUGUCUGAAUAUGGGGGGACCAUCCUCCAAGGCUAAAUACUCCUGACUGACCGAUAGUGAACCAGUACCGUGAGGGAAAGGCGAAAAGAACCCCGGCGAGGGGAGUGAAAAAGAACCUGAAACCGUGUACGUACAAGCAGUGGGAGCCUCUUAAUGGGGUGACUGCGUACCUUUUGUAUAAUGGGUCAGCGACUUAUAUUCUGUAGCAAGGUUAACCGAAUAGGGGAGCCGAAGGGAAACCGAGUCUUAACUGGGCGUUAAGUUGCAGGGUAUAGACCCGAAACCCGGUGAUCUAGCCAUGGGCAGGUUGAAGGUUGGGUAACACUAACUGGAGGACCGAACCGACUAAUGUUGAAAAAUUAGCGGAUGACUUGUGGCUGGGGGUGAAAGGCCAAUCAAACCGGGAGAUAGCUGGUUCUCCCCGAAAGCUAUUUAGGUAGCGCCUCGUGAAUUCAUCUCCGGGGGUAGAGCACUGUUUCGGCAAGGGGGUCAUCCCGACUUACCAACCCGAUGCAAACUGCGAAUACCGGAGAAUGUUAUCACGGGAGACACACGGCGGGUGCUAACGUCCGUCGUGAAGAGGGAAACAACCCAGACCGCCAGCUAAGGUCCCAAAGUCAUGGUUAAGUGGGAAACGAUGUGGGAAGGCCCAGACAGCCAGGAUGUUGGCUUAGAAGCAGCCAUCAUUUAAAGAAAGCGUAAUAGCUCACUGGUCGAGUCGGCCUGCGCGGAAGAUGUAACGGGGCUAAACCAUGCACCGAAGCUGCGGCAGCGACACUAUGUGUUGUUGGGUAGGGGAGCGUUCUGUAAGCCUGUGAAGGUGGCCUGUGAGGGUUGCUGGAGGUAUCAGAAGUGCGAAUGCUGACAUAAGUAACGAUAAAGCGGGUGAAAAGCCCGCUCGCCGGAAGACCAAGGGUUCCUGUCCAACGUUAAUCGGGGCAGGGUGAGUCGACCCCUAAGGCGAGGCCGAAAGGCGUAGUCGAUGGGAAACAGGUUAAUAUUCCUGUACUUGGUGUUACUGCGAAGGGGGGACGGAGAAGGCUAUGUUGGCCGGGCGACGGUUGUCCCGGUUUAAGCGUGUAGGCUGGUUUUCCAGGCAAAUCCGGAAAACCAAGGCUGAGGCGUGAUGACGAGGCACUACGGUGCUGAAGCGACAAAUGCCCUGCUUCCAGGAAAAGCCUCUAAGCAUCAGGUAACAUCAAAUCGUACCCAAAACCGACACAGGUGGUCAGGUAGAGAAUACCAAGGCGCUUGAGAGAACUCGGGUGAAGGAACUAGGCAAAAUGGUGCCGUAACUUCGGGAGAAGGCACGCUGAUAUGUAGGUGAAGCGACUUGCUCGUGGAGCUGAAAUCAGUCGAAGAUACCAGCUGGCUGCAACUGUUUAUUAAAAACACAGCACUGUGCAAACACGAAAGUGGACGUAUACGGUGUGACGCCUGCCCGGUGCCGGAAGGUUAAUUGAUGGGGUUAGCGGUAACGCGAAGCUCUUGAUCGAAGCCCCGGUAAACGGCGGCCGUAACUAUAACGGUCCUAAGGUAGCGAAAUUCCUUGUCGGGUAAGUUCCGACCUGCACGAAUGGCGUAAUGAUGGCCAGGCUGUCUCCACCCGAGACUCAGUGAAAUUGAACUCGCUGUGAAGAUGCAGUGUACCCGCGGCAAGACGGAAAGACCCCGUGAACCUUUACUAUAGCUUGACACUGAACAUUGAGCCUUGAUGUGUAGGAUAGGUGGGAGGCUUUGAAGUGUGGACGCCAGUCUGCAUGGAGCCGACCUUGAAAUACCACCCUUUAAUGUUUGAUGUUCUAACGUUGGCCCGUAAUCCGGGUUGCGGACAGUGUCUGGUGGGUAGUUUGACUGGGGCGGUCUCCUCCUAAAGAGUAACGGAGGAGCACGAAGGUUGGCUAAUCCUGGUCGGACAUCAGGAGGUUAGUGCAAUGGCAUAAGCCAGCUUGACUGCGAGCGUGACGGCGCGAGCAGGUGCGAAAGCAGGUCAUAGUGAUCCGGUGGUUCUGAAUGGAAGGGCCAUCGCUCAACGGAUAAAAGGUACUCCGGGGAUAACAGGCUGAUACCGCCCAAGAGUUCAUAUCGACGGCGGUGUUUGGCACCUCGAUGUCGGCUCAUCACAUCCUGGGGCUGAAGUAGGUCCCAAGGGUAUGGCUGUUCGCCAUUUAAAGUGGUACGCGAGCUGGGUUUAGAACGUCGUGAGACAGUUCGGUCCCUAUCUGCCGUGGGCGCUGGAGAACUGAGGGGGGCUGCUCCUAGUACGAGAGGACCGGAGUGGACGCAUCACUGGUGUUCGGGUUGUCAUGCCAAUGGCACUGCCCGGUAGCUAAAUGCGGAAGAGAUAAGUGCUGAAAGCAUCUAAGCACGAAACUUGCCCCGAGAUGAGUUCUCCCUGACUCCUUGAGGGUCCUGAAGGAACGUUGAAGACGACGACGUUGAUAGGCCGGGUGUGUAAGCGCAGCGAUGCGUUGAGCUAACCGGUACUAAUGAACCGUGAGGCUUAACCUU
RNAcentral lists this ribosomal RNA (2902 nucleotides) under Escherichia coli HVH 132 (4-6876862). Its description in RNAcentral is "bacterial LSU rRNA". It matches the Rfam family "Bacterial large subunit ribosomal RNA". Lineage: Bacteria; Pseudomonadati; Pseudomonadota; Gammaproteobacteria; Enterobacterales; Enterobacteriaceae. The record is from RNAcentral. RNAcentral also lists the same sequence under 1 other name.